Molecule: non-coding RNA, 72 nt
Organism: Phrynosoma platyrhinos (Desert horned lizard)
Lineage: Eukaryota; Metazoa; Chordata; Lepidosauria; Squamata; Phrynosomatidae
Source: the annotation of a GenBank genome assembly
GCCAGCAUGGCAUAGUGGUUUAAGUGCUGGACUAUGAUUCUGGAGACCAGGGUUCGAAUCCCCACCUAGAGA